AACGAACGCUGGCGGCAGGCCUAACACAUGCAAGUCGAGCGCGCCCUUCGGGGUGAGCGGCGGACGGGUGAGUAACGCGUGGGAACGUGCCCUUUUCUACGGAAUAGCCUCGGGAAACUGAGAGUAAUACCGUAUACGCCCUUUGGGGGAAAGAUCUAUCGGAAAAGGAUCGGCCCGCGUUGGAUUAGGUAGUUGGUGGGGUAAUGGCCUACCAAGCCGACGAUCCAUAGCUGGUUUGAGAGGAUGAUCAGCCACACUGGGACUGAGACACGGCCCAGACUCCUACGGGAGGCAGCAGUGGGGAAUCUUAGACAAUGGGGGCAACCCUGAUCUAGCCAUGCCGCGUGAGUGAUGAAGGCCUUAGGGUUGUAAAGCUCUUUCAGCUGGGAAGAUAAUGACGGUACCAGCAGAAGAAGCCCCGGCUAACUCCGUG
RNAcentral lists this ribosomal RNA (433 nucleotides) under uncultured bacterium. Its description in RNAcentral is "partial 16S ribosomal RNA". It matches the Rfam family "Bacterial small subunit ribosomal RNA", at positions 29 to 507 of the family's 1533-position model. The record is from RNAcentral.